Molecule: ribosomal RNA, 428 nt
Filed under: uncultured bacterium
Lineage: Bacteria
Description: bacterial SSU rRNA
Rfam family: Bacterial small subunit ribosomal RNA
Source: RNAcentral
CCUGGCUCAGAACUAACGCUGGCGGCGUGGCUUAGGCAUGCAAGUCGAACGGCAAAGUCCGCAAGGACGAGUAAGUGGCGAAAGGGUGCGUAAUACUCGGGCAAUCUGCCUCUGGGACGAGGAUAGCCGCGGGAAACUGCGGGCAAUACUGGAUAGGCUCACGAGGGCUGCGGCCCUUGGGAGUAAUCGGUGGGGAUCCGCAAGGACCUUCCGCCCAGAGAGGAGCUCGAGGCCUAUCAGGUAGUUGGCGGGGUAACGGCCCACCAAGCCUACGACGGGUACCCGGACUGAGAGGUCGGCCGGGCACACUGGCACUGAGACACUGGCCAGACUCCUACGGGAGGCUGCAGUCGAGAAUCUUCCGCAAUGGGGGCAACCCUGACGGAGCGACGCCGCGUGGAGGAAGAAGGCCUCGGUGUAACGUACCU